UACGUAGGGUGCAAGCGUUUAAUCGGAAUUACUGGGCGUAAAGCGUGCGCAGGCGGUUCGUUGUGUCGGCGGUGAAAGCCCCGGGCUUAACCUGGGAAUGGCCGUUGAAACUGGCGAACUGGAGUGUGGCAGAGGGAGGUAGAAUUCCACGUGUAGCAGUGAAAUGCGUAGAGAUGUGGAGGAAUACCGAUGGCGAAGGCCAGCCUCCGUGGGCCAACACUGACGCUCAUGCACGAAAGCGUGGGAGCAACAG
RNAcentral lists this ribosomal RNA (253 nucleotides) under uncultured bacterium. Its description in RNAcentral is "partial 16S ribosomal RNA". It matches the Rfam family "Bacterial small subunit ribosomal RNA", at positions 524 to 775 of the family's 1533-position model. The record is from RNAcentral.